This 365-nucleotide RNase P RNA is filed under the name Candidatus Methylumidiphilus alinenensis. RNAcentral describes it as "Candidatus Methyloumidiphilus alinensis RNase P RNA component class A". It matches the Rfam family "Bacterial RNase P class A". Rfam says of the family: Ribonuclease P (RNase P) is a ubiquitous endoribonuclease, found in archaea, bacteria and eukarya as well as chloroplasts and mitochondria. Its best characterised activity is the generation of mature 5'-ends of tRNAs by cleaving the 5'-leader elements of precursor-tRNAs. Lineage: Bacteria; Pseudomonadati; Pseudomonadota; Gammaproteobacteria; Methylococcales. The record is from RNAcentral.
GGAGUCGGUCGGGCGGUCGCUGUCCGCAGUAGCGGAGGGAGGAAAGUCCGGGCUCCAAAGGGCAGGGCGCCAGGUAAUGCCUGGGAGGCGUGAGCCUACGGAAAGUGCCACAGAAAAUAUACCGCCUGGCAGCUUUAAGUUGUCAGGUAAGGGUGAAAUGGUGCGGUAAGAGCGCACCGCGUUAUCGGCAACGAUAGCGGCAGGGUAAACCCCGCCCGGAGCAAGACCAAAUAGGGGAGCAUUGGGUUCGCCCCAUACGCGUGGCCCGCGCGGUUCCCGGGUAGGUUGCUUGAGGCACUUGGUGACAAGUGUCCCAGAUGAAUGACUGUCCUAGACAGAACCCGGCUUACAGACCGGCUCCACUU